RNAcentral lists this long non-coding RNA (1792 nucleotides) under Drosophila guanche. Lineage: Eukaryota; Metazoa; Arthropoda; Insecta; Diptera; Drosophilidae. The record is from RNAcentral.
AUUCCGAGGGCUAUACGUCGUUCUUGCUCCAGGCGUUUUCGCUGAUCAGAUGCCUCCUUGGCUCGGGCCUCAUUAGACAGACGCUGCUGUUCAAGUGCAAUCUGCUCACGGUGGAUUAAAGUUGGCAGCGGCUGCUGCUUUUGGGCUGCUGCUUCCUGCAAGAGCUGCUGUUGGAGCGGAAGAACGUGAGUUUCCAGCUGCCUUUUGUAUCUCGGCCGUUCCAAUCUCCGGGGGAUGAAUGGAUGCAUAAUAAGCUUUCUUGCUUCCAGAUUUGGAUGAGUAGAGAGUGAUGUUGCCAUCCUGCUGCUAUACGUAUUAAAGAUGUCCUCUGCUGAGUCGAUGUUGUGUGCCUCUCGGAUGUCCUGGCUUCUGAUGUAUCUGCUGGCCAUUGCAAUCUUUCUCACGAGCCGGUUUUGCGUGCCUUCUAUCCUACAGAAUUGAGAGUCACAUACCAAGGCCCCCCACACAGGUAGGGCAUAUUUCCAUAUCGGGGCGAUUAAUUGCUUAUAUACAAUCAUUUUGCAUUCUUUUGACAGACGGCUCUGGCUGCCUAUAAUCCAGUUUAACUUGAUGGCUGCUCCCCUCACUCUAUCAACCAGACAUGAUACAUGUGCAUGUAGAACCAGCUUCCUGUCCAUUAUCAGUCCUAGGUACCGGUGACUGGACUUAUUAACAAUAUGAGUAUCAUACAUUUUUGGUGACAGUUCUCUAAUUCCAUUUUCAAUUGAUUUCCUUGUGUAUAAUACAUGUAUCGUUUUGUCUUUGUUUAGGCUGAUGCCCCAUUUAGAGGCCCAGGAGGUGAAGCUUUGGAGAUAUUUCUCGUUCGUACGGACCGCUGUAGUGGCCAAGCUUCUGGCACACAGGAUGAUGGUGUCGUCUGCGUAUGUAGAUAGCAACAUGUCCUUAUAGUAAUCUGACCUCCAUCUAUCAUUUUGUCCCUCUAGGUGCGGCAGCGGCAUAUCUGACGUGAAAACAGUAUACAACACGGGGCCUAGGACACUCCCCUGUGGGACUCCAGCGCAGAUUUUUCCGGAUCUAGAUCGUAGUCCGUUUUGGCCAUUUACAAUAAAUGAUCUAUUAGUGAGAUAACUUUCUAGAACCUUGUAAUACGCAAAAGGCAGUAGCUUGGCCAGCUUGAGCAGUAGGCCACUAUGCCAAACUCUGUCGAAGGCUUCACUUAUGUCUAUGAAAACAGCAGAACAGUAUAAUUGUUUUUCGUAGGAGUCCAGAAUGUAUUGCGUGACGCGUGCCAAUUGCUGUUCAGUGCUAUGAUGUCUCCUAAACCCAAACUGGUGAGAAGGAAUGGCAUUUUCAAAUUCCCUGCAUUCAAACAUUCGUUUCAUUAGCAGCGUUUCAAAAAGCUUUGAGAAGCCAGCCAAGAGGCUAAUUGGUCGGUAUGAGCCAACAUCAUUUGCGCUUUUGCCUGGUUUCUUGAUCAUUGUAAUUGCAGCACAUUUCCAUUGUUUGGGAAAAUGGCCGUGUCUAAGUAUCGAGUUAUAAAUGUAUGUCAAGUAAAUGACUGCUUUAUGAGGCAGGGCUUUUAUAACUCUAUUAUUUACCCGAUCCAUCCCAGGGGCUUUUUUAUUUUUUAGAGAUCUAAUUUCCAGCAUGACUUCAUUUGGUGAGAUGGGCCUGAAUGGAGGUUUAUUUCCGUCGCUAGUUUCCCCAAAUUGCUGCCUUUGGAGCCAUUCCGGUGUUGCUGUUAAGCGCUUUAGCUGUUCUAGUUCUUUGCGCUCCUCUUCCACCCCGUUCCUGAAUUCCUCAGUGUUGACUAGUUUUGGUGCAAAUCUUU